CUACAGCCAUGGUUGCCAGGGUAGCGGUUUUCCCGCACAAUUGGGCUAUUUUAGAAAAGGAGUUGCGGGAAAAAAUACGGAGUUGCGGGUUGCGGUUUUUUGGGCUACAUUUAUAAUGUACCGCGGCCGCAAAAAAAUAAAUAAAUAAAAUAAAAUAAUUGUGGACAAAGAUAAAAGUGAACCUUUUAUUAGUGGGUGUUGAUCCCCGGGAAUGAAUACUUGGCAACAAACGCUGCUUCUCGCAAGAUGCGAGUAGGCGCGCGCACCACAUGUGCUUUGACAUCACAAAAAAGAAAAAAGAGAAGACAAGCAACAACAAAAACAAAGGGAAAAGUGUUCAAGUUCACCCAAACAGACGCAGAGCUGGAGAGAAAAGCAUCAGAAAGAAGUGCUGAGAAGAGAAAAAGCCCUUUGUGGGAAUCCAGCCGUUGUCUAAUCUGAUUGGACACUGAAAAUUUGGGCUAGUUUUCAUUCCAUUUGGGCGGGUUUUGAGUUGUCAUUGGGCUGGAAAUAUUUCUGGGACCUGGCAACCCUGUCUACAGC
This is a long non-coding RNA of Cyprinus carpio carpio, 543 nucleotides long. The record is from Ensembl. NCBI's taxonomy places the organism in Eukaryota, Metazoa, Chordata, Actinopteri, Cypriniformes, Cyprinidae.